RNAcentral lists this ribosomal RNA (452 nucleotides) under uncultured bacterium. RNAcentral's name for it is "partial 16S ribosomal RNA". It matches the Rfam family "Bacterial small subunit ribosomal RNA", at positions 354 to 796 of the family's 1533-position model. The record is from RNAcentral.
GUGGGGAAUAUUGGACAAUGGGGGGAACCCUGAUCCAGCCAUGCCGCGUGUGUGAAGAAGGCCUUUUGGUUGUAAAGCACUUUAAGCGAGGAGGAGGCUACCGAGAUUAAUACUCUUGGAUAGUGGACGUUACUCGCAGAAUAAGCACCGGCUAACUCUGUGCCAGCAGCCGCGGUAAUACAGAGGGUGCAAGCGUUAAUCGGAUUUACUGGGCGUAAAGCGCGCGUAGGUGGCCAAUUAAGUCAAAUGUGAAAUCCCCGAGCUUAACUUGGGAAUUGCAUUCGAUACUGGUUGGCUAGAGUAUGGGAGAGGAUGGUAGAAUUCCAGGUGUAGCGGUGAAAUGCGUAGAGAUCUGGAGGAAUACCGAUGGCGAAGGCAGCCAUCUGGCCUAAUACUGACGCUCAGGCACGAAAGCGUGGGGAGCAAACAGGAUUAGAAACCCCCGGUAGUCC